RNAcentral lists this ribosomal RNA (270 nucleotides) under uncultured bacterium. RNAcentral's name for it is "partial 16S ribosomal RNA". It matches the Rfam family "Bacterial small subunit ribosomal RNA", at positions 85 to 354 of the family's 1533-position model. The record is from RNAcentral.
UAUUAUUUUAGCGGCGACGGGUGAGUAACGUGUGGGCAACCUACCUUUUACUGUGGAAUAAUCGUUGGAAACGACGACUAAUACCGCAUACGGUUCUUGGAAGGCAUCUUCUAAGAAAGAAAGGAUUUAUUCGGUAAAAGAUGGGCCCGCAUCUGAUUAGCUAGUUGGUGAGAUAAUAGCCCACCAAGGCAACGAUCAGUAGCCGACCUGAGAGGGUGACCGGCCACAUUGGGACUGAGACACGGCCCAAACUCCUACGGAAGGCAGCAG